Molecule: long non-coding RNA, 1179 nt
Organism: Pyrus x bretschneideri (Chinese white pear)
Lineage: Eukaryota; Viridiplantae; Streptophyta; Magnoliopsida; Rosales; Rosaceae
Exons: 2
Source: RefSeq, a predicted model, not a curated record
CAACUUUUUCCCCAAAUGGAAAUGAUGUGGUAAUAUCUUUCAUAUAUUCAAAUAGAGCUCACUGUGUGGAUGUCAUUUUCUUUCAAAAGUAAAUAAUAUUUAUACUUUUGUGAGCAAUAUUGCGUUAUCAUUGAAUAAUUGAAUAUUGUUAUGCUAAGUACUAACCGUAAGCAGAAACGUUAUGCUACAAGGGACGUGGGUUCACAUAAAAAUCCAGUCAGUAUUGUGAUCUUGAUGAUUCGUUACCGUGUAAUCAAUGCCACAUCAGCUUAAGUUGUUAGAAUGUUUGUUAGGCUUGACGUUAUAAGCUAUGAUAAGGAAAUAUACUACCACACAAACUUCUCGAUAAGUUUUUGCACUAUCUUCUCAGACAUCACAAUUCUCAGCUUAGCACAAACCAUACUCUAAAUAACCAUAAAACUCAAGAAUCCAUACCCAUUUCUCCAAACAUAUCCAAAGUUGCGGAAAAAUCAAACCCAAUAAAAGAGACAAAACAGAGUUUCAGUGAAGCAGAGAGACUAGAAUUAGAUGCUGCAAAUGAUAGAACACCACCAGUGUCAUCAUUUUCUCCACUGGUUUCCUCCCAAGCCCAUAAUUAGACAGAUUUGGCUCACAUUUGUCAUCUAACAAUAUGUAAUCUUGGAACUAAGUCCCAUUUCCGAAGAUUGAUACCUUUGAUAUAGCCUAUGCCAGGAAUAAUAAGAAUUGGACCAAUGACACUGCUGAGGCCAAAUUUGAUGAAGGGAUCUUCAUUGACAACCCCAGCAGUUGGAUCAGGAGCAGCUGGCAUCAGAGAGAGCAGCUCGAGAGGCAGCAGAUCAGAGAGUGAAUGCAGCUGAUGCAGCUCGCGUGGAAGUCCAGUAAAGUCUUGGACUUUUCAUACAGUCGUAGAGGCAAACUAUGCAGCAGCUAGCGAAGGAAGCCCUUGGGUUUGUACCUCCCCCAAUGAUUUUACCACCACACACAAAUUCCGAUCAACAUGUGGGUGAGGAAGAGGAUGAAAUAAAUGCUUACCAGACUCCUUUUUCAUUUGGAACUUAUUACUCAUCUACGAAUGGUUUAGAUACCAAACUACUCAUUUUCCAAUAUGCUUACUCGACGGUUUGUGGAUGCAUUAUAUCUAAUGUUAUAUAGCAUUUGGUAUGUAUAUUGAUGGGUUUAAUAUGUAACUCUUCAUUA